UUCCUGCCCGCUUGCUCGGCCGCCAGCCCCAUCCAAUGCUUAAACUUCGCCAUGUGGAUUCCUGGUUGCUUGCUGUCUGACGGAUACACGUCAGGCUGGGCAUCUAAACGCGUAUGCUUCCAACCACUCAUUAAUCGGUCCUGAACUCCAAAAUCACACAAAGUCUGUUGUAAGUGUGCGGGGGAGAGGUAGGAAAAAGGGUUGCUCUUAUAGUUCUGUUUGCAACACCAGUACUGGUGAACGUGUCAUUUUCAUACAGCCAGAUGUCGACAGCACCCGGCAUGGUCAUCCAUCCGCAGCAUGAACCGCUGUCCAACUUAAUCCUACUUGCUGAGCACUCUCUCCCGCUCUGCCUGCCGUUCCCCUUUGCUUGUGCAUAUCUUGGACUGUCUCCCUUGAGGCUUAUGGCUGCGGGUGGCCUGGCCGGAGACGACUGCAUCAACCCCGCACAAGGAUCUAAUAUCAGUGAGUAGGAGCUGCUGGACUCCAAUGCGAUCUACG
RNAcentral lists this long non-coding RNA (501 nucleotides) under Volvox carteri. Its description in RNAcentral is "long non-coding RNA (VCAR_LNC002703)". Lineage: Eukaryota; Viridiplantae; Chlorophyta; Chlorophyceae; Chlamydomonadales; Volvocaceae. The record is from RNAcentral.